CUCUGGGAAGUUAACCAGCUGGCCAAGUCCACGGCUCAUGCAAAGCCUCCUCCACAGCUUCUGGAACCUUACCAGGGGACAAUUCCUCCCUCAGGAGACAGAGGAUGUCCCACUGAGGCCUUGGAGCCCCUCCUCUCCAACAGACUCAGCCCAAGGCCUCCAGGAGCUUUCUCUUGGGUUACAGCAAACGUAAGAAAAACAUUAAGAAGCGGAGACCACACCUCCUCCACAGCAAGCUCAGAGCUCGGCAAGCUCAGCUCAGCGAAAGAUGAGCUCAGCGGCCUGCGUCCCUCUCUUAAAGGCACAGAAGCAGAAGAGCCUCAGCUGCACUGACUUGGAAACCCUGAGAAGAGAAUCCAGACUCUCAGAGGGUCCUCUGGGAGAACGUCCAGGAGCAGUGCUCACAGCGCAGCUCCCAGCCUUGUGCUGUGGCCCUGCAGGCUGGAUCUGACCACUUAGGUGUGGAUCUUCAGACCUGUGGCCCUCCUGAUGCCGGACAGCUGGAUCCGAGGCACUCUGCUGGGGGCAGGGCUUUGCAGCAUCCUAGAGCAUCCCAAGUUGGCACACGACCUUUGCCUCCCAGCACAUUGACCAGGAAGAAUUGCUCCAGGCUUCAGACUGCAGGAAGACAGAUUCUAGGGUGUGACCUGCAGCUGACAAUCAUUAAGAUGUUAUAUUUAAUGAAGCACCUGACUAAAGGCUUCAGAGAAUAGCUUCAAAGCUAGAUGCAAUGAACUCCAAGAUUGCAAAAUGUGUUGUCUGCGCUUUUGUCUGUAGCCUGUGACACUGCUUGCUAUAGCCAAAAUAGAACAACAACAACCACCAAAUCCUUCUUUCAAAGCAAAAGAAGAAUAUGGGAAAAGGGUUAGAAGGUUUGGAGUUUCUAUCUGUGCUCAUUUCUCUAACAUUGGCCAAGAUAUAAACCCCUCUCAUGUAAAACAGAAAACAUGGGGCUGGGGAUUUAGCUCAGCGGCAUAAGCGCCUGCCUUGCAAGCAGGCAGUUGUGAGUUCGAUCCCCGUUACCGAUAAAAACGAAAAAAGACCAAAAAAAAAAAAAAAAACAGAAAACACACAGGCAGUCACCCUCUCUCAGUGGGUGAACGUGAGGACUAUGAUUAGAAACUGUUGCAAUAGAGGAGGAGCACUGGCCUGGCAAGCGCAAGGUCGUGGGUUCAAUCCCUGGUACCAGAACAAAACAAAACACCCAAAGAGAGAGAGGUGGAAAAAGGGAACAAAAAGGUAGAUAUCAUGAUUUGGGUGACAUACUCGGGCAUGGCCUCCACAGAAUAACGCCCUUCUUUCCCCUACAUCCUUUCCUAAUUCGAAUCAGAUUGAGACAGAUAAUCUGAUCCAAAUCCGAUACCCAGUUCUUUCACUGUAUAAAAAUGUCUUUCUCAGCCCGGCAUGGUGGUACACACCUGUAAUCUCAGCAUUCAGGAGGCUGAGACAGGAGGAUCACCAUGAGUUCGAGGCCAGCUUGAACUGCAUAACAAGAUCCUGUCUCAAAUAAAUAAAUAAAAUAAUUUUUGUCAAG
This 1534-nucleotide long non-coding RNA is filed under the name Cavia porcellus (domestic guinea pig). RNAcentral's name for it is "lncRNA (ENSCPOG00000031931.1)". The stretch from base 956 to 1019 matches the Rfam family "tRNA". The record is from RNAcentral. Lineage: Eukaryota; Metazoa; Chordata; Mammalia; Rodentia; Caviidae.